UACGAAGGGGGCUAGCGUUGCUCGGAAUCACUGGGCGUAAAGCGCACGUAGGCGGAUUGUUAAGUCAGGGGUGAAAUCCUGGAGCUCAACUCCAGAACUGCCUUUGAUACUGGCGAUCUUGAGUCCGGGAGAGGUGAGUGGAACUGCGAGUGUAGAGGUGAAAUUCGUAGAUAUUCGCAAGAACACCAGUGGCGAAGGCGGCUCACUGGCCCGGUACUGACGCUGUGGUGCGAAAGCGUGGGGAGCAAACAGG
Molecule: ribosomal RNA, 253 nt
Filed under: uncultured bacterium
Lineage: Bacteria
Description: partial 16S ribosomal RNA
Rfam family: Bacterial small subunit ribosomal RNA
Source: RNAcentral